Molecule: unclassified non-coding RNA, 197 nt
Filed under: plant metagenome
Description: partial contains small subunit ribosomal RNA, internal transcribed spacer 1, and 5.8S ribosomal RNA
Source: RNAcentral
UCUCCGUUGGUGAACCAGCGGAGGGAUCAUUACCGAGUUUACAACUCCCAAACCCCUGUGAACAUACCUAUCGUUGCCUCGGCGGUGCCCGCUCCGGCGGCCCGCCAGAGGACCCCCAAACUCUUGUUUUAUACAGUAUCUUCUGAGUAACACGAUUAAAUAAACCAAAACUUUCAACAACGGAUCUCUUGGUUCUG